UGCCAGCAGCCGCGGUAAUACGGAGGGUGCAAGCGUUAAUCGGAAUUACUGGGCGUAAAGCGCGCGUAGGUGGUCAAGUCAGUCAGAUGUGAAAGCCCUGGGCUCAACCUGGGAACUGCAUCUGAUACUGCUUGUCUAGAGUAUGGUAGAGGGGUGUGGAAUUUCCUGUGUAGCGGUGAAAUGCGUAGAUAUAGGAAGGAACACCAGUGGCGAAGGCGACACCCUGGACCAAUACUGACACUGAGGUGCGAAAGUGUGGGGAGCAAACAGGAUUAGAUA
RNAcentral lists this ribosomal RNA (279 nucleotides) under uncultured bacterium. RNAcentral describes it as "partial 16S ribosomal RNA". It matches the Rfam family "Bacterial small subunit ribosomal RNA", at positions 506 to 784 of the family's 1533-position model. The record is from RNAcentral.